GGGUGCCAUCACCUUCUCCGUGAGGAGAUGCUAGAAGAAGUCUUUUCGAGCCAACCAGACCUCAGAGACAUCCCCUUAAAGUCAACCAGAUGAGACUUAUUACACAGAUGGGACCAGCUACCUGGAACAGGGAUACAGGAAAACUGGAUACAUGGUAAUUACAAAGGAUACAGUAGUCGAGGCAGGAUGACUCCCUACACACUGGUCAGCUCAACAAGCAGAGCUCUAGGCACUUAUAUGUGCCCUAAAAUUGACUAAAGGUAAGAAGGUAAAUAUAUAUACUGACUCACGGUAUGCCUUCACUACCUUACAUGUACAUGGGGCCAUAUAUAAGGAAAGGGGGCUAUUAACUGCAACUGGCAGAGAUAAAAAGAUAAAGAGGAAAUUCUGCUACUGUUGGAAGCAGUGUGGGAUCCCACUGCAGUGGCAGUGAUACACUGUGGGGACCACCAAAGGGCAGACACACCUUAGGCAAAAGGGAACUGUCUGGCCAAUCCAAGCAGCCACCCUAGGACAAUACAGCACCCAAACUUAUGGGGAAGCCUGUGGUGUCCAGCCUACUAACUGCCCAAGUGGCCCCAGUCUAUGACAAGGAAGAAACCACCUGGGCAUGAACUGAGCAAGGAACACUAUGGGAGGACAGAUCGUGGAAACUCUCAGAUGGGAGACUUUCAUCCCCUCUAGGUUGGCAUUUCAAUUGGUUACAGAUGUGGAAAACUUGCAAGAUUUUACAAUUAAAGGGAACCGCUCCAUUUGAACAUCUAGAGGUGGACUUCACUAGAGGUAAAGCCAUGCCAAGGAUACAAAUAUUUGCUGGUGAUGAUAUGUACUUUUACAGAAUAGGCGGAAGCUUAUCCCACCAAGGCUGAGAAAGUCAAGGAAGUGGGCUGAUGUGUGCUGAGAGACCUUAUUCCUAGGUUUUGGUUCCCUCUGAGUAUAGGAUCAGAUAACGGGCCUGCAUUUGUGGCUGAGUUACUCUCAUUGGUAUGCAAAGUAGUAAAUAUUAAAUGGAAAUUACAUACAACAUAUAGGCCACAAAGCUCAGGAAUGGUUGAGGGAAUGAACCAGACAAUCAAGGUGACUUUGGCAAAAUGGGUGCAAGAAACUGGCGCCCCCUGUAUGGACAUGCUGCCAUUAGUGUUAAUGAGGAUCAGAAUGACCCCCCGGUUGCAUGGGUAUUCCCCCUAUGAGAUAAUGUUUGGGAGGCCUCCCCCACUUCUUCAGGACAAAGGGGAAGGAUGGAGGUGUCAUGGCAACUGGAACAAUUGGGGAAGGUGAUCUGUGACAUCACCUGCUAUGUUCAUGAGAAAAUUCCAUUUUGUCUAGGCACUACUAUACACCCAUACUUGCCAGGAGAUUUAGUAUGAGUAGAGGGCUGGAAGCAGCAGAUGUUGUCCCCCACCUGGAACAGGCCAUACACAAUUGUUCUAACCACUUCCACUGCAGUUAAAGUUGCAGGUUAUUCCAGAGUGCUGAGCAGAGGUCCCUGUGUUAUGUAGUUUAUCGUUGUUUAUCGUCAUUUUUGUUUUUUUUUAAAUUGGGGUAUAGUUGAUGUAAAACGUCGUCCUCAUUUCUGCUGCACAACAAGAGGGUAAAAGGCAGGAAGCCCAGAUGUCUCCAAAUGGAGGACACAGACAUUUCUUACCUCUCUCUUAAGCAGCAGGAGGAGACAAAGUGUAAGUGCUAGAUCUUAUUCCCCUUCUCUAUACAAACUUAAAAAGAGGUUUCUUUUAAAAUUCUGUGUUGCCAUGAAGACACCUGGUUCCACCUGAACUUAACUUUUCUCAAACCUUGAGCUGACCAAUGCAUUUUUCCUGUGGAAUUUUUUGUCUUAAGCUAUUUUAAUGAACUGUGUAUUUACCCUAGACUCUGUCUUCAAGUUGAUUCUGCUGAAGACUCAGAAUAGUCAUGAGAUAUUACAACAGGUGUAUGGACCAAAUCAGUCUUUACAUAAUCUGCUGCAACUGACUCAGACAGUCUAUUACAGCAGGGAAUAUGAGGAAAAGAAAGAUAGGCAGAAAAAGACAAAGAAACAGGCAGAAGCCCUUGUAAUGACUGUUAGAACCGUUCUUAAACAGCCUGAGAAAACUGCCCAGAGGGACCCAGGUGAAAAAGGAUGGGCUUGCUAUUACUGUGGAAAGGAGGGGCACCUCAAGCGGGAUUGCCCUCAGGCA
This is a non-coding RNA of Odocoileus virginianus texanus, 2174 nucleotides long. The record is from RefSeq and is a predicted model, not a curated record. NCBI's taxonomy places the organism in Eukaryota, Metazoa, Chordata, Mammalia, Artiodactyla, Cervidae.